RNAcentral lists this ribosomal RNA (501 nucleotides) under uncultured bacterium. RNAcentral describes it as "partial 16S ribosomal RNA". It matches the Rfam family "Bacterial small subunit ribosomal RNA", at positions 30 to 523 of the family's 1533-position model. The record is from RNAcentral.
AUUGAACGCUGGCGGCAGGCUUAACACAUGCAAGUCGAGCGGGGGAAGGUAGCUUGCUACCGGACCUAGCGGCGGACGGGUGAGUAAUGCUUAGGAAUCUGCCUAUUAGUUGGGGACAACAUCUCGAAAGGGAUGCUAAUACCGCAUACGUCCUACGGGAGAAAGCAGGGGAUCUUCGGACCUUGCGCUAAGAGAUGAGCCUAAGUCGGAUUAGCUAGUUGGUGGGGUAAAGGCCUACCAAGGCGACGAUCUGUAGCGGGUCUGAGAGGAUGGUCCGCCACACUGGGACUGAGACACGGCCCAGACUCCUACGGGAGGCAGCAGUGGGGAAUAUUGGACAAUGGGGGGAACCCUGAUCCAGCCAUGCCGCGUGUGUGAAGAAGGCCUUAUGGUUGUAAAGCACUUUAAGCGAGGAGGAGGCUACUUUAGUUAAUACCUAGAGAUAGUGGACGUUACUCGCAGAAUAAGCACCGGCUAACUCUGUGCCAGCCGCCGCGGUAA